CCGGCACCCCGGGUUCUAGUUCUGGUCGGGGCGCUGGAUUCUGUCCCGGUUGCCCCUCUUCCAGGCCAGCUCUCUGCUGUGGCCCGGGAGUGCAGUGGAGGAUGGCCCAAGUGCUUGGGCCCUGCACCCUCAUGGGAGACCAGGAGGAAGCACCUGGCUCCUGGCUUCAGAUCAGCGCAAUGCACCGGCCACAGCGGUCAUUGGAGGGUGAACCAACGGUAAAGGAAGACCUUUCUCUCUGUCUCUCUCUCUCACUGUCCACUCUGCCUGUCCAAAAAAAAAAAAAAAAAAAGAUACAGAUGUUGGCCAUAAUGCCUAGUGUUAGGAAGAUUCUUCUUAAAAAUACUUAUUUAUUUUUAAGAUUUUUAUUUUAUUUACUCAAAAGACAGAGUUACAGAGAGAGGUUGAGCUAAAUAGAUAGAGAGAGAGAGAGAGAGAGAGAGAAGAGAGGUCUUCCAUCCACUGGUUCACUCACCCAACAGCUGCAAUGGCUGGAGCUGUACCGAUCUGAAGCCAGGAACCAGGAGCCAGGAGCUUCUUUCAGGUCUCCCAUGUGGGUGCAGGGGCCCAAAGACUUGGGCUCUCUUCUCUUUGUUUUCCCAGGCCAUAGCAGAGAGCUGGAUUGGAAGUGGAGCUGUCUGGGACGUUAACCUGCUGCACAAUAGUGCUGGCCCCAUUAAAAUUAAAUUCUAGUAGCAACAUUUCCACUUUAACCAAAACAAGCAAACAAACAAAAAACAGUCUUGUGAUGGGACAUCCCAAGAUACUGCUUGGGAUGUCCGUGUCCUGUAUUAGAGUGCUUAGACUCGAGUCUCAGUCCCUCUUCCAAUUCCAUUUGACUGCUAAUGUACACCCUGGGAAGCCACAGGUGACAGUCAAGUACUUUCCCUGCCACUUACUGCUCCUGGCUUUGGCCAGGCCCAGCCUUGGCUGUUGUGGACAUUUGGGAGUGAGCCAGCGAAUGGAAGAUCUCUCUUUGUUGCUGUAUCUCUUUCACAUAAAUAAAAACUGUAAAAGAAGUCUUCACCCUCCUCCUGUGGAUAUUCUCAGCAUCUGUGCUUCCAGGGUAAGAAUCCCUUAGAGCUAUAGCCACAGAACCUAGAGGACUGAUUUGGUGGGAUGGGCAUAAAAUAGACCAAGAGGCAGAGGAAGAGAAAUAGAUGAGAAGAAGGACGUGCUUUCUCUCUGCCUGUUGGGCUGUUUGCAGAAGGCAGGCAGAGAGUGCUAGAUGUGUUCAGAAAUGCCACAGUGUGCAUUCUUCCAGAAGGUGCACGCACAGCCACGCGAGCACCGUCUGUUGUCUUGAGGAAAACCUGGCAUGAUACUGGGCCUCACAGAUUCUUAGCUGGGGACCAGCCUCGCUGUUCUCUGAGUCUCACCACAGAGCACCUGCAAAAGAGAGAAAGGAUUCGUCAAAUACCUUAGAUACAAUUGCCAGGCAAUACUUAAAAAAAACUUUAUCAACUCUUCCCACCUGUUUACCUGACUACCUGACCAGUGUUUCUGGAAAGGACAGCAGUGAGUGGAAUGUCACAGAUGCAUGGAUGGCGUGACAUGGACAGGGCUGCAGGGACAGAAGAGGUCAGGAGAAGCCCUCUAAGAUCUUACUCUGGCUUGGUGCAUUGGCCAACUCCCCUUCUAUUUCCUCUUCCCGGGGAGCCUGUGGUCCCAGCCAUGCUCCUGAAGGUACCAAGGUCUCGUUGUCAAACACAGCACUCUCUAAGCCAUGCGCUUCAUCUCCAGGAGCCUGGCAACAAGGACAAUGCGGUGGCCGUUUCGUCCCACACUCCUGCACAGGUGACCGGAACUUCGGGAAGUUAUGUCUAUGACCCAGCAGUUCCACUCUAGGUCAACAGAACUGAAAACAGAUCUUCACACAGAGCCUUAUCAGCACAACCAGGAGCAUUUUCUAUUCCCAUGGAAUAGAGGCACAGACAAAAUGGGAAACCUUUGUCCUACCAGCGCUGGGAAGGAAGAGAAAACCCAAAGCCAGCAAAGGCUCUUCGGCUGGCUCACUGAGAUGGGACGUGGUGAAGGGGCAUGGUCUCAACCAGUGCACAGUGGUCAACACAGCUCAUAAAACAAUGGCUCUGGGUGUAGUGUUUAAGUGGUGACUAAAGCCCAGAACAGUCAAGUGGGUUGGAAACUCUUCAAAAAUUAUCUACAUCAGUAAACGUAGGCUGUUGCUCAGUCCAUGAGGAGUGCUUGUGGAAGUAGGCUGAAGGUACCCCCAGCCCGCCCAGCCAUCUGCAGACUCGUGGAAACACUGCCCUGAGUCAUCCCCAGCAGGUGGAAGAGAUGUAUGUGGGGCUAGAAGUGCAUGUUCCUUGGGCUGGGUAUUUGACGCAAAUGGUUAAGGUGCUGCUUGGGAUGCCCACACCCCAAAUUACUGCAUGCAGUGCCCUGGCCAAGUCCCAGCUCUGCUCUCAAAUCCAGCUUCCUGCUAAUGUGCAGUGACGGCUCAAGUACAUCGGUUCCUGCUCUUGUGUGCAUUUAGGGAGUGAAUCAGCAGAUAGAAGAUCUCCCCCCCCCCUUUCUCUUUCUCUCUCUCUGCAUUCCAAAUAAAUAAUGCAGAAAUAAGGAAAAGUUAAACCAAGAAUUUUGGUAUCUGUCUCUUUUUGGUGGGUCUAAGUGCUGUGGUGUAAGCAACAGACAGACCCUGAAUAUCCAGGUUGAAUGAGGUGAGAUUCACUGGUGCCUGUCAGGUGUCCACAGAUUGACAAGAAGCCUGGAGCUCCAGAUGCCAAGCUUGCUCUGAAGUGGAAUGCCACCACAGCUGGAACAGUCAAAAUCAAGCACAGUUGCUCCCUUGGGGUUCCUCCAGAGACACAGUCCUGCAGGAGUGCCUCUGACUGGUUGAGCUCUCGUCCCAGGUAUGCCCAUGGCAUUUACCUCAUGGCACACCAGGGCGAGAGGGGAAAGGGUCUAGUCUCCCAGUUUCUGUAACAGGACAUGGAUGCGGAACGACCGAAACUACACAUGAAGGGAGGCGUGAGCGCCCCGACAGCACUCGGGGCUGAUGAGGAAGAGGGAACAGGUGCUAGGUGGGCAAGAAACGCCCAGUAUUUCUUUUAUUUCAAGUACAGGAAAUCACUUGGAACCAACUAAAUUGAUCAGAGCUCUUCUCUAAAUGAGGAUACCCAGUUAAUAGUAGCGAAAUGACUUUUUCCCAUGCGACCUGCAUUUUGGGAAUCCUAGCAAAGGUGAUGUCUGAGUGUGAACUAAAGAGAUGCUCUCUGCUCAAUGUGCCUGCGCAGACUUGACCAUUUCAGUGAAGCAAAGUGAGCGAGAAUGUGGAGCGACUGAAUCCAACUAGCUAAGGGGAACUGAGUAAAUCCACUUUGUGGGAGGGGUCUUCACCAUUGUUUCCUAUUAAAACAUCUAGCAGGUGAUCAGCUCUUCAGGUACUGAGAGGGAUGGACAAGGAGAAUCACGACACAGAUGGAACCUUUAUAUCUGUAUCUAACUCUUUAGCAUCCAGGUUAAGCACACAUGCUGUUAGCCAAUAGGAUCAGAGAAGUAGCCCAGCACCCUGUACGUAUUGUCAACUGAAGAGGGUUCUGCUGGCUUCUCCAGCAUAGGCCAUGCUAUUAGCAGGCUGUUUACUUUGCUGUGGCCUCUCCUACCACUUCCGUUUCAUUCAUGGCUGAGAAGGAUCUACUGUGAAAGUACUGGACUUGUUCCAAAGAAACAAAGGCAAAGGCUCAUGCUGGACUGCUUUGUAAGUUUUACAGCUGCCCGUGGCCCUGAAGGAUGUGGUCGGGCAAAUACAGGGUGAAGUUCAGCAGGCAAUCAGGGACCAGUGGACGUCCUUUCCCGCGAUGUGAGAGCUCACAACUUUCACGGCAGCCUGGGAAGACUUGGCAGAAAUGUAACCAACAGGAGCUGGAAGAACUGCGCUCAGAGGCACAUAAUGACUUCAGGGACUGCGAUUGCCAAGGCACAGUGUGCUCACUGUCUUCAGGGGGAGGGGCCAGGUAGCGCUCCCUCUCCCGGGCAUGCGUUCUGCUUACCUAAGCCAAGACACCUGUGUACAAGACACAGCCCGCCUCAAGGAGCUGCUCUUUCCCCACUGGUCUUUCUGAGAAUCAACUCAGCUUUCCACUUGGCAGAGCAGCUCACAAGGCUUCAGCAGAAGGGAGAUCCGUGCCUCUCUGUAGGAUUCGACCUGGCUUUGUGGCCCCGUUAGGAUUCCUGGUGGGUGAACCACAGAUCACAUUUCUCCAGGUCUCAUUGCCUGUCAUUUUGGUUGUAACAUAAGGAAAUAGAAAUCAUAGCAUUGCAGCGUGGUGAAAAGGAUCCCUGAUGGCGGCAGGGAGGCCAACUAGAAGGCUGUGCAAGAAAUGGUGCCCUGGAGAUAGAAGUUGGAUUGUGAAGAUCCUUCGAAAGAAGAAGACUCAACAGGGUUUGCUGGUGGGUUGCAUGUAGGGUGUAUGAGGGAGGGGUCGAAGAUGACCCUGAGAUUUUUACACUGAGAAGACAGGAGAACAGAUAAGCCAUCCACAGUCAUAAGGAGGGCUGUUGAGAAGAGCAGGCAUUCUGGGAGAGAGCAAGAGUAUGGUUUCGCGCUACCAAGUCUGAGAUGCUUCAUGACUUCCCAGUGUGAUGCCAAGGAGCCAGUCAGACUAACUCUGGCAGCCACGGGAGAGGGCUAUGGAAGCCGCAGGUCCUCAUGUGGUGUUUGCAAGCUGGACAGGGAGGGGAGCCGAGAAGAGGAUGGAGGAGAGAGAAUCCAGUGCUUGCCAGCAUUCAACGUGCAGGCGGAGGCACAGACGGCACAGGAGCACGUGGUGGAGUCCCAGGGAGGCAGGGAGGGAAGGAAGAGUGGGCCAAGGGAGGAUGGAAGGCCAGGGAGGAACAGUGUUCAAGAAGAAGGGAAGGCAUCACCCCCUCUGUCAACUGCUUUUGAAAAGUUGAGAGAGAUGAGGACUGAGAAAUCUGACAGUCGACUGCCCGGACUCCCCCAGGGUUCACGCUGAAUGCCUGCUGUGCUGAGCACGUGCGUCCCCCCAGUUCAGUCCCCAGUGUGAUUAGAAGGCGGCCCCUUGGGAAGUGACUGGGGCAUGAGGGCUCUGCUCUUGUGAAUGGGAUCAGCGCCCUCAUCAGGUGGACCCCAGAGAGCUGGUGAGCCCCAUCCACCCUGUGCAGACACAGAGGAGGCGUCUUCCGGGAAGCAGAGAGCAGCCCCCAUCAGGAGCCUCACUGCUGCUGCCUUGACCUGGGACUUGCAAGCUUGCAAGUAAAAGAUCAAUUUUUUACAAAGAUUAAUUUAUUUAUUUGGAAGGUACAGUUAGAGAGAGAGAUCGAGAGAUCUUCCAUCCACUGGUUCACUCCCCAGAUGGCCACAACAGCUGAAGCCAGGAGCCAGGAGCUUCUUCUGAGUCUCCUACCAGGGUGCAGGGGCCCAGGCACUUAGGCCAUCCUCCACUGCUUUCCGGAGCUGGUUUAGAAGUGGAGCAGCCGAGACUUGAACAGGUGCCUAUAUGGGACGUCACCCGUUAAGCCACAGCGCCGGCCCCCACACUCUUUGUUGACUGUCCCCCCUCCCCUGUCCCACUUCCUGGCUCCUCUACUGAUGUUUCAUAGGAUCAUCUCCCAAAAAACUACUUGUCUUAAUCUGUUUUAUGUGGAUUUAACAAAAUGCCCAAGACUGUGUCAUUUGUGAAGAAAAGAUAGGAAUCUCCUACUUCUGGUGGCAGGGAAGUUCAAGAUCAAGUGGCUGCACUUGGUAACAACCUCAUAAGAUGGCAGAUGGGAUCACAUGGUGGGAGUGUGGGGGUUGUGCAUGUGUGGGAAAGAACAGGGGAGGAAUAGGAAAGGCAUGUUGUAACAACCUGCUCUCCUGAGAACCAACUCAUUCCUGUGUACAGAGAAAUACAUUCAUUCUCUUAAAGGGUCUCCAACACGGUUGGUAGGGGCUGUUGUCCACUGCUUUCCCAGGUGCAUUAGCAGGAAUAUGGUUAGGAAGUGGAGCAGCUGGGACUUGAACCUUCGUCUGUAUGGGAUGCCUGUGUUGCACACAGCAACUUCACCUGCUGCAUCACAACACCAACCCCUUAUGCCAGCAAGUUUACAACUGAGUAUCAAGCCCAUGAUGUUUCAGUUUUAUUCUCUCGUUUGCUUGUUCCACAGACUUUCCAGAGGCAGGCAAUUUAUCGUGUGAAAGAGACUUGCUUUCUUUAUGAGUUUAUAGGGUUGCUGAUUCGUAUUUGUGAAGGCAACAUCGUCACUCUCCAGACAUCUUUUGGAACUGUGUGUAGCCUUCCCCUCCAUUGGUGGCACGUGGGAUCCAGUGGAGGGAGACACAGCUACCUUACCCAAUAGGUGCUCAUCUUACAGGCCCAGGAAACAUGUGUUGAAAAGGACAGCUGUGCACACAGGGUCACCUGCUCAUCUCACUGUCAUUACGCACAUAGACCUGCAUUAUACUUGCAAAUACAUAUGUGUUUAGGUAUUUGUCUCCUACUCCACUCCCCUGGACUCACCUCCUUGAGAACACAAUCAAAUCGUGUUUAUGCAGAUAGCUCUAGGCCUGCACGGGUGCUCAGUCACUGAAUGAGUUUACAGAGCAUCUACUGUGCCGAAUGAAUGCCGUGUUAAGCACGGAGGGCCCGAGGGAGAGGAUAGAAUCUACAGAUACAGAGAGAGGCAGAGCAGAGAAAGAGAUCUUCCAUUUGCUGGUUCAUUCCUCAAAUGCUGGAAACAGCCAGAUGUCUCCAUGGCCAGGCUCUACCAGCCUGAGGCCAGGAACCAGGAACUCAAUUGGAAUCUCCCUCCUGGGCGGCAGGGACCCACCUACUUGGACCAUCACCUGCUGCCUUGCAGGAUGAGCAUUCGCAGGAAGCUGAUGUUAUGAACAUUUUUCUAUGGAUUUUUGUGUGAAAAUAUAUUUUCAAUUCUCUUGCAUAUAUAUUGAGGAGUAGGAAUUGUUGGUCAUAUGGUAACUCUGUAUUUAACAUUUUGAGGAACUACAAAAAUGUUUUCCAGUUUAAGUUCCUAUCAGUGAUGUGUGGAGGUUGUAACUUCUCUACAUCCUAACAGUUUUCUGCCUAUUUUAAAAUUUUUAAAACUGUAUUUGAAAGGGAAAAAGAUAGAGAAAUAUUCUUUUUGCUUUUUUUAAAAAAAAUUUUUAUUUAUUUGAAAAGCAGAGAGAGAAAGAGAGAAAGAGAGAGAGAGAGAAUCUUUUAGCCACUGGUUCAUUCUCCAAAUGGCCAUAACAGCCAGAGCUGGGCCAGGCCAAAGCCAGAAGCCAGGAACUUCAUAUAUGUCUCCCACAUGGAUGCAAGAGCCCAAGCACUUGGGCCAUCUUCCAGUGCUUUCCCAGGCACAUUAGCAGUAAGCUGUAUUGGAAGUAGAGCAGCUGGGACUCUAACUGGCACCCAUAUGGGCUGCCAGCACUGCAGCCGGCGGCUUAACCCAUGACGCCACAAUGCCAGCCCCAAAGACAGAAACAUUACAUUGCUGGUUCAUUCUCCCCAGACGCCUACAAUAGUGCACUGGGCCAGGCCAAAGACAAGAGUCCAGAACCUGAUAUGGGUCUUCUCCAUCUGGAAGGCACUGACCCAAGCCAUCAUUGCUGCUUCUCAGGGUGCGUAUAAGCAAGAAGACAGAAGUACAACUGGGCUCAGGACUGAAACCAGGCACUAGACUGCAAAAUAUGCCUGCAUCUCUGUGUUUCCUUUCUUCCUUUCCUCCAUUUCCUCCUUCCUUCCUUCCUCCCUCUUUCUUUUUUUUUCUCUUUCUUUCUUUUCCUUUCCUUCCUUCCUUCCAUUUUAUUAUUACAGCCAUCCUCGUGGAUAUGAAGUGAUAUUUCGUUGUGGCUUGAUUUGCAUUUCUCUGAUGCCUAGUGAUGUCAGACAUCUUUCCAUGUAUUUACUGGUCAUUUACUGGUCUUUGAAGAAACAUCUAUUCAAAUCUUGUGCCCAUUUGUAAUUUUUUCUUAUGGAGUUGUGAGAGUUCUUUCUAUAGUCUAGAAAUAGAGCCCCAGAUUAUUUCAUCCCACUCUGUGGAUUGUCUUUUCACUUCCUGGACAGUGCUCUUUGAGUCACACACAUUGGGAGCCAGACCCAGGGUGCACGCCAAGCACUCCGAUGUGUGAUGCGGAUGUACCAGGAGGGUCUCACCCACUAUGCCUAAUGCUCACCCCAACUCCCAUGCUUUCUUCUAAUAGUUUUAUAGUUUUCAUUCAUAUAUUCACACUCUGAUCUAUUUUGAGUUAAUUGUGUAAUGUUUUGAAACAAGGGAUGUGGAUAUCCAGUUGCCCCCACCUCAUGUGAUAAGGAAUUUUCACUCCCCCACUGAGUGGUUUCAGCACUUUCGUCAACCAUCAGUUGACCUUAAGUGUAUGGGUUUACUUCUUUAUUUUGUUUCUCUGCACAUUUACCCUUAUCUAUUACAGUUCUUGGUUUCAUUACAGUAGCUUUGUGUAUGUUUUUAAACCAGAAAAUUUGAGUUCCCCCAUCUUUGUUCUUUUAGAAAUUAUUUUGGCUGU
Oryctolagus cuniculus (rabbit) is the source of this 8491-nucleotide non-coding RNA. The record is from RefSeq and is a predicted model, not a curated record. Lineage: Eukaryota; Metazoa; Chordata; Mammalia; Lagomorpha; Leporidae.